Bubalus bubalis (water buffalo) is the source of this 3956-nucleotide long non-coding RNA. RefSeq lists it as uncharacterized. NCBI's taxonomy places the organism in Eukaryota, Metazoa, Chordata, Mammalia, Artiodactyla, Bovidae. The record is from RefSeq and is a predicted model, not a curated record. The transcript has 2 exons.
CGGGGAUGGAACCCCCUGCAUCAGAAGGCAAAGUCUCGCUCUCUCUCUUUUUUUUAAUUUUAUUAAUUUGGUUGUGCUGGGUCUUUGUGGCUGUGUGCAGGCUUUCUCUAGUUUUGGCGAACAGGGGCAGCUCUCUAGUUUCGGUGCUAUGGCUUCUCGUUGCGUGGCUUCUCUUGUUGCAGAGCACGGGCUCCAGGUGCAUAGACUUCAGCAGUGGCAGCAAACGCCGGCUCAGUCGUUGUGGCACACAGGCUUAGUCACUCCGUGGCAUGUGGGAUCUUCCCAGAUCAGGGAUUGAACCCGUGUCUCCUGCAUUGGCAGGCAGAUUCUUUACCACUGAACCACCAAGGAAGCCCUAAAAGGUGGAGUCUUAACCCCUGGACUGCCGUGGAAGUGCCAAGCACCGUGAUUUCUUUGCCUGGAAAUCUCGCCCUCAUCUUCUAAUAUUAACCUGGGAUAUCAUGCUUCAGUGGGGUAACCCUGCCCCUCCCUUCCAUCACCCCCCUACCACUUCCCACCAGGUCAGGUGCCCUUGUCCUGAGGCCUGCUUUGCCAUUGACCCCAUUAUAACACAAACCCCUUAAGAUUCGUGCCUUGAAGUACAGUUGCCUCUUGCUGGGGAGUUUGGCUCUCAAGCAGCCUCGAACACCAAGCUUGUGUGUGGUGGAGGAUUACCCAAGGAUGCUCCUCAGCUGUCCAGAAGCUGAUAAUGAGGUCCUGCGAGAUUAGAAAACUUUCUCAGUGUCAUGCGGCUUGGAUGUGGCAGCAGUCGGCACCAGAAGCAGAAUUCUGACUCCUGAGCCUUUCCUUCUAAAUAAUAAAGUGUUGUUUUAAAGUAAGGAAACCGUUAUUAAUGUCUUCAACGGAGAUCCUGUGAAUCACUAAAAUCGGAAAUUAUUAUGAAACGUUCAUUUUCUCAUAUUAAAUAGAGUUUGAGUGAUUUUCAAAUUUGCAUCCUUUCUAGGAAGCCUGAAUAAUUAAAUUCCAGUUCUAAUUCUGACAUUUCCUUUUUGAAAUCAUUGGAAUCAUUGGUUCAAAGCGAACAUUUUGGGAAUGCCUGCUCCAUGCCAGGCCCUGUGCUGAGUGUUUUUCAUCUGUUAUUUCAUUUAAUUCUCAUAAUACCAUUAUCUUUUGAGAGCUGAGGAAACAGAGCUGCACUGAGAUUUAGCUCAUAGUGCCCAUCCCAGCAGCUUGGGUUCCAUGGCUGGAGCCCUCCUGGCAAACUCACCUGCGUUCUAGGAGUACAGAGUCGGAAGUCCUUUCCCAGUGCAUCGGGAGGAAUUCCUGAGAAAAAGUACAGUCAUGUGGGCUAUCUGAUUCCUGCUCAUUUAGUUGGAAAAAGCCUAUACAUCUUACUUGGGGCCCAGGAAGGAAGGGGCUGAUGCUGGCAUCAGCUCAGGGGGGUUGAGUUUCCCCUCUGCUCUGGGCAGCUGCUCAGAUGGUCCACAUGGAGCUGAGGUGGUGGCCUUCUUUGCCCCUCCCUACAUCACUGGCUAGCUGCAGAUCCGGCUGUGUAUUUAUUGAUUUCUUAGAUAUUUAUUUGUUUCCUUGGCUGUGCUAGGUGGGUCUGAGUUGCAGCAUGCCAACUCUUAGUUGAUGCCUGUGACCAGGGAUCGAACCUGGACCCCUGCGUUUGAAGUGCAGACACUUAGCCAUGGACCACUAGGGAGGUGCCCUGGCUGUGUCUUUUCUACCAUUGCCGUGCUCAGUCUGUGGGUGAGCUUCAGAAGCUCCUGUUAGGAGACACAGGACACUCAAGGGCAGAGUGCCCUUCUCCACGCGGCCCUGGCUCUGACACCUCUGGUAGUAGCCGGGAAGGUGCCUCUUCCUUUCAGCAGCCAUGGUCUGAACUCAUGUUACAGGAAAAGGGACCCCUUCUGUGCCCAGAACCAUGGUCUUCUAGUGACACUUAGCAUGAGACCUUGGAGGGAGGGCGAAUGUAUGAAGUCCUCCCAGCACCUCCUGCCUGGGGCCCUGCGUGAGUAUGAACUUGGACCUCGUGACUUGCCUCUUUAUGCUUUGCCCGUCCAGAGAGAGAUGUAAAACCCAGGCUGCUGGCAUCAGGGUUGUUUCUAUCAGAUGACCCUGUUUCUGUGCUUGCUGACUGCUAAGUCACCUCAGUGCGGGGACGCAUUCAGUGUCCUGAUCUUUAAGGCUUUCUUCUCAGGACCUCACGCUGACUCCAUCAAUCUGAGUGGUCUCGCGUAACUCCAGACAAGAGUUAGGGUGUGAUGUGAUGGCCGUUUGUUGAUUCUCUUUGAAAGUCCUGAAGAUGAGGGAUAAUAGGUGUUUAAUGAGCUCCUGCAGGGUGGCAGGUGCUGACAAGUACCUUACAGCCUCCAUUUCUAAUCCCACAAUUGAUAUAUUAUCAUUCAGAACCCGAAGCUUGGAGGUCAAAGGAUUCUGCUUACCGCAGACAAUGCAAUUGACGGGGAGAGGGAGCGGGAGUUAAUUUCCUGCAUGCAUCCAUGUGGUGGCCAAGACUCACUCUGCCGUGGAAUCUGUGCUGGCUUUUAUGGCCUUUUGUGAGAAAGCUCAGGGAGACCAAGGUGUGUGAACAGCAGGCGUGCAUCAUUGUCACUGCCAAGCAUCUAUUCCUUAGCCCUGGAUCAUGGAUGGGUGUAUUAGAAAUGCCUUCAGUUGCAGAGUUGAUACAGGACAUGUGAAUAGACUGAUGAUAUUUGGCUUUGUUCAUCAAUACUUCCCUUUUCUCGUGUAGAAUAUUGUCAUCUUUCCCCCUCUUCCUUCCCUGGACCUUUUCCCCAUGAGUGCAGGAUGUUGUUGUUCAGUCCCCUGGUCAUGUCCGACUGCUUGCCAGCAUGCCAGGUUUCCAUGUCCAUACCAUCUCCCAGAGUUGGCCCAAGUUUGUGCAGGAUGGCUCCAGCCCUUUCCUGACUGUGGUAGGGCUGUCCAGGCACCCCGGUCCACUCAAUUCCCCCAGCUGCAACCCUAGAGCUUUUUAAGAUCUCCUCAGCCCUCUGGCUGAGACACUGCAGUAGCCAAGCCUGUACCCCUCACCAGUACCCACCCCAUUGAGUGCCAUGGUACCGCCUGUGUGGACGGGGGGCCCCACAGCAGCUGGUACCAAACAAUGCCUGUUCUCAUCUGGGCAUCCCGGGCAGGCCUGGCAGCUUCAGCCGUUCAGAGCCCAGCUGGGUCUGGAGUUGCUGGGCUGCGCUGCAGAGGUGAUUUGCUGCUUGGUGUCAGUACAAACAAGACAGAUUUCAAUCCAAGGAACUCUGAAGGGCCUGCCGCUCUCUCCCUGUCUUCUGAUUGUCUUUACAAUGAAAGAUGUCUGAAGUAGCCCCACUGUUCAAUGAACCCAGGCUGGAUAUGACUGCUGAGGUUUAUAAGAUCACUCUGCUGUGCUGGCUGUGUGCUCUGGACAGGUUCCCUAACCUCUCUGAGUCUAUCCUCCUGUAUCUUCUUUAAAAAAUAUUUUAUUUAUUUUAAAAAUGUAUCUGGCCGUGCCGGGUCUUAGUUGCAGGUGGCACGUGGGAUCUUCAGUUACAGCAUGCAUGAUCUCUUAGUUGCGGCAGGAAAACUGUUAGUUGCAACAUGUGAACUCUUAAUCACGGCAUGUGGGAUCUAGUUCCCCGACCAGGGAUUGAACCCAGACCCUCUGCAUUGAGAGCAUGGAGUCCUAGCCGCUAGACCAGGGAAGUCCCUCCUUCUGUGUCUUGAUAUUGAAUUUAAUGAUACCUAUGCCACACAGCUCAUGCCAGGAUUUAAUGAUGGGAUCUUUGUGGAGAGCGCCUUGCCCAGGCCUUGGCACGCUGUGUGCCCUCCAUAGGUAAUGAACUCUCUUCCCCUUUCCUCGUAGGAUUCCAGCUGAGAGAAGACAAGGCCAUAUCAAGUUCUAGACACGCAGCUUUGCUGUCUUUACCACUGUCUGCAGGGAUCUGUGCUUGGUUGGUUUCGAAUACUUUUAAACAAAAGUAAAAGAGCUUUAAUUA